Molecule: long non-coding RNA, 384 nt
Filed under: Pongo abelii (Sumatran orangutan)
Lineage: Eukaryota; Metazoa; Chordata; Mammalia; Primates; Hominidae
Description: lincRNA
Source: RNAcentral
AUGGGGACAAUUCAGGGAGUGGCUCUCAGGUCCUGAGAAAGACUUUCCUGGCCACAGGAGAUGCACGGACAUCGGGAACAGACAGAGGAAGGACGUGCAGUUGCAGCCUUUUCAGCAGACGCCCUGAGAACGGGAGGUCGGGAGUCGGAGCAAACGGUCAGUUCUGACAGGGCCUCAGACCUAAGGCAGGAGCACCCCCUACGCCAGACCUCCUGGGUCACAGGAAAUGCACAGACAUUGGGAAGGGGCAGAGGACGGAUGGAGGAAGGAUGUGCAGUUGCAGCUCUUUCUGCAGAUGCCCUGAGAGAGGAGCAAGAAGGUCCUCGCCAGAUGCUCCUGGACUUGCUUUGGACUUUCCCUUGCUCUUGACUUCACAGCCUCUAG